RNAcentral lists this ribosomal RNA (305 nucleotides) under uncultured bacterium. Its description in RNAcentral is "bacterial SSU rRNA". It matches the Rfam family "Bacterial small subunit ribosomal RNA", at positions 335 to 639 of the family's 1533-position model. The record is from RNAcentral.
UACCCUACGGGACGCAGCAGUGGGGAAUAUUGCACAAUGGGGGAAACCCUGAUGCAGCGACGCCGCGUGAGUGAAGAAGUAAUUCGUUACGUAAAGCUCUAUCAGCAGGGAAGAAACACUGACCUUACGGUCAGCAGACGGUACCUGAGUAAGAAGCCCCGGCUAACUACGUGCCAGCAGCCGCGGUAAUACGUAGGGGGCAAGCGUUAUCCGGAUUUACUGGGUGUAAAGGGAGCGUAGACGGCGAAGAAAGUCUGAAGUGAAAGCCCGCGGCUUAACCGCGGAACUGCUUUGGAAACUUUUUU